AUAACAUUUUAUAACAAUGCCAGCGUGCUCUGGUACCCGGCAAAAUGUGAUAUUUUUGAUAUUUGUCGGAUCCAGUUUCACCAACUAAUAAAGCAUUCGCUGGCAGAGUAGAAGAAUAUAACGGAACUGAGAACAGAGCAUUCAGGUGGAAUAGGGAGGCUUUUGUCUUGGAUAUUGUCUACAUCGUAAAUCCCGUUGUGCCGUUUUCCGGCUUGAAAUCAUCAUUAUAAACUUGGAGCUGUGAUUUUUGUUUUUGAGCUAUCCGUUGCCUUAAGUGGGGCGGAAUGAUGUUAGAAUGAUCUCCAGCGUUUAUUCUUUGUACCAGGAUCAAGUCAACUUUGGGGAUCCUGUUGUUCCAGGGUCUUAAUAUAGGGGUUUGUCUAGGUGUGGUGGAGGGUUUUGGCCUUUAAGGUCGUUAGAUCGCCGAUGGUGAUUCUUUUGGUCCACCGUCAUCAGGGAAGAAAUUGGACUGGUGAGGAAUGCUGAACUGAUUAUUCUUACAUCUUAGUUGUUGAAAGACUCCAGUUUAUUGAUCAGAUCUACCUUGGUGUAAUAUCGACCAAAGACCACUCAGGAAACUCCUCGACUGCCUAGAUUCUUCUUAAAUCUAUGCACACUUUCAUAUACCUAAUGCUUUUUAAGUAGAACCAAUUAAGACCAACGAAAUAUAUUAGAAAGUUAAUGUUACGACGAUACUACAUUUACUUUCUUUCUUUUUUUGUUUUUAAUUUCAUCUUGCUUGCGAAACCAUUUCUAGUACCUAAAACGGUUUCUUGUACUUAAAUAUUUCAAUACUCUAUUUUAAUAGCUCCAUUUACCUUUUUGAAUGUGAUGAGAUUUAUGACAGCUUUUUUUAAACAUAUAUCAACCACUAUUUCCCGGACGUUUUUAUCACUGUCCAUAGUUUUAUAUUAAACUGAUCUUAAAUUUACUUUAAGAUUUUUUUACAGCAUUUAAGCUACUAACACUGACCACACUGACUGGACACUUGAUUUGGCUGCUCGAAAAAUUAACGAGUAAUGUCGAUACCAGAGACGCUUCGAUAGAUGUUGUAGCCCGGCUGGAAAAUUAAACCAGACAUUUGAUAGAUAUCGAUCAGUUCAGACUACUCGAACGGACUGAACAGGUUGGGGUCCAUGCUAUAGAGUCAAAUUUUUAUGCUCGAAUUGCAGCCGCGCAAUGUCGACGGUAGGAGGCUUUAAGACAUAAUUUGAAUGAAUUUUUUUUUUCGAAGUGUCAUGUCAGUGUGAUCAGUGCUACUAAUCGAUUCCAUAAUUCUUGUCAAUGUCUUACUUCCAAGUUUUAUUUCAACUAUGCGGUCUUGAACCUCGCUCGAAAAUUAAAAUGAGCAAACUGCAAACAACUACAUAACAAUUUAUAAAAAAUAGUUUUUCACCUACUUUUCGGCAGAAUGGAAUCAGACUUCUAAUGACGCAUUUAAGCACCACAUUAAUGUGCCUACCAAAUAAUUACAUACAAUUCACAUCUAAGCGACUGGUUCAUAAUCCACCUCACUUAGUACUUGUGCCAAACCACGAGAUCUUCCGAAAUACAAGAUCUCAGACAACAACAAAAACGACAUGGUGCCAUCAAUCGUUUACUGGUGUAAUUUCUACACAGAAAUUUAAAUAUUUCUAAAAUAUUUCAUUCGUUUGGAACUACACAUCAAAGCGACGCGAAACUAUUUCACCUAGGAUCCGGCUCAUUACAUGUAAUGCUAUUUUAUUUACUAGUCAUUACACCCGAAGUUCAUCAUUGUUCACCGCAAUAACAAUGUUUUAAACUGUCCAAUAUUUUUGGGAGGCAAAUCACGUACCGGUUAUCGAUUCCCUUAGACGUUUGGAAUCUUCCUUCUUGAAACUUUUUUUCGUUUUGAAGUCUAAAUAUCACCCUCAUUCUCGUUUUCGAUCGAAUGACAUUCGUUCGAAAGUUAGGCAAUUUCGUAUUCUUGUUUUCGUUCGAACGAAUCAGAGCAGUUCGAUCUUUCGAACAUCGUUCGAACGAACAAAACUUUGCAUUCCCGUUUUCGUUCGAACGUAUUUUUUCUAUGGGCUGACAAACGCAAGUCUGACACUGCGAAUCAUGAGCGUUUGAAGGAAUUUUCGAAAUUAAAAACCGAUUAUGGGAUAGAAAAUUGGUUCAAAAUAACCAGAUAAAUGUGAGCUAAAUCCACACGAAAUCAAUUUCUUCAAAAUAACAAAAAUUUAAAUACAAAAACAAACAUAUUUUAAUAAUUAAAAAUAGAAAUUUUUAUCUCAAUCAUCUUUCUCUUUCUUCUCUGAGGGAUUUUUUCCAGUAUCAGCAGAACAACUUCGCGUGCCCGGAAUGUUUUAAUGAAUUUGGACUCCAAAUUUCUUAAUAAUUCUGCUACAGCUGACUUUGCUGUCUAUGUCGCCAGGAAUUUAGUUUUCACGUUUCAUUUCGAUUCUUUUCCAGCUAUCGACUUACAACGCAAACCUCAGGCGUAUGAAGAAAAAGUUUUUGCUAAGUAAUUCAAAAUAAUCAUUAAUUUCGAUUUACAUAAUCAAUUUAAUUCAUAAUUUUAAGCUUAUUUCUAUUUGAAACUUCAUUGUAAGCCUUCCUUAUUCCUCUCGGCGGGUGAUAUUAUAGGCAUCAGCAGCAGCUACAUCACUAACAUAACCACCAUCGGCUAUUGAGAACAGCUCCUGAACGGAUCACUAGAAAACAGCUCAAACCGCUACCGAUGAUUGCAAUACGGCCAAAUUGCGCUGCUGGAAACAACCCUCUCGAAUGCUGAUUUUCUGCCUUCAACUGCUUACGAUGUUCAUCGACCGCCCGGUGUUCGGCACACGACGCGGAAUAAAGUUUCUCAGCCAUUUCUUGCCGAUUAAUAAAUGACCACGCUUUAAAAAUAAUCUUUACGCUUUUGGCACGGACCAGAAACUGCAAUGUUUAUGAUAAGAAAUGUCAUUUCGCCGCAGCCUGCUGCUAAAAAAAUUUCGAAGUUGAUCUGGUAACACCAAAAUCGAAAGUAUCGCAUUCGAACGAAAACAAGAAUAGCCUUUUCGAAUUCGAUCGAAAGUAUCCGUUCGAACGAACGACAGAUACGCCGUAAACAAGAAUAAGGGUGUAUGUACCUCCUUGAAAUUUUUUUUUCUCCUCGUCGCCAAAAUGUAAUAUCGACUAAAGACCACUCAGGAAACUCCUCGACUGCCUAGAUUCUUUUUAAACUUACGCACACUUUCAUAUGACGUUUUUUAAAUAAAACCAAUUAAUACCAACGAUAAUACUAGAAAAAUAAUAUUUAUUACGACGAUACUACACUUGGCUCGGCUGACUAAAUGAAGUUCGUAGAGGACCGACGGAAGUAACCGACCGUGUAGAAAGCGGAAAAGCGAAUCUCGGUGGGCCAUACUUGUAUGGUUGGAAAGAAUUGGUAGGAUGUUCAUUUUGUUGGUGGCAUUUUUCUGUACGUUGUUGAAGUGCAGUUUGAAAUUUAGGCGGUUUUCUAGCCAGACUCCCAGUAGACGGGUAUAGUGUACUUGAAGGAUUCUUUGUUCAUCCUUAAGGAGCCGAUGCAGGAGGAGAUUGGACUUCUCGGAAGGAAACUGGAAACCCAUUCUAGGGGCCCAAUCAGCUACUAUGUUUGCUGCAUGCUGCGGCUUUCUUCUGACAAUCUUAGGAAAUGAAGAGAUUGAGAUGAGAAGAAUACAGUCGGCGUAGGACCUAGAUGUUUCAAAGUAUGACCUGAAAAAUUUAGUUCAUAGCCACCAGGAAUAACGUUGAGGCUAUUUGUAGGACUCCACAUAUAACAGGUCGGAUGUUCGAGCGCGUUUCGUUGAUGAGGACUUGGAUGUAUCUAUCUAUUUAUUUGUUCCCAUUUGGUAAAGGUGUUAAGAAUAGCGAUGCGAUCAACCCGAUCGAAGACCUUGGAGAGGUCGAGUGAUAGGCAUUCCACAUGACGGUGUUCGCGAAGUGAAGUGUCAAUUGUCGAGAAGCAAAGGAUUUUGCUUGGGUUUGGCUUUUGGAAUGACUAAUCCAAGCUUCCAACAUACGGGGAUUUCACUUUUGGUCCAAAUUUGGUUGAAUAUUUUUAGGAGCAUGACAUUCUGCAGUUUGAAUGGCAAAAGUAAAUAAAAAGAAGUUCGUUUUUCGUAGAAUGACUGUAUCUCAGGCAGCAUGUGUGGCUUUAGAAAGCUCAAAUUUUGUGAAAUAAUAGAGUGAUAGCUGAUCUAUCUUAAACAGUCUUCACGAAAACAUGCACCAAGUUCAACUUGGGUGCAAAAUUUAAGGCACAAGUUCACCUUGGAUUUUUAUACAAUCCAAAUCAUACACUGAAAGAAAAAUCAUGGUAUUCUGAAAUAAAUAAAAAUGUUUAAUUUUACCAUGCGCUAGUUUUGUCGAUAUAAAUAAAGUUUUGGUUAUUUUGACGAUCUUUUGGUUAAUUUUACUAUGCGAACCAGAAAAAAUAUGGUAAACUAAAACGAGAAAGAGGUUUAAUUUUACCAUGCACAAAAUUUGUCGAUAUAAAUAAAAUUUUAAUGAAUUUUACCAUGCGAAUCAGAAAAAAUGUGGUAAACCUAAAUAAAAAAAGAGGUUUAAUUUAACCAUAUGCAGCAUUUUCCGCAUUUGAAAAAUAUUUUUAAUAAUGGUUAACAAUACUCUGGUAAAUUUUACCAUGGAUGUCAAUAGCCAACAUGCUUCCGUUCUGUCAUUUAGCACUUAGUUUUUUUUCUUGCCAUAAAAUCGGUUGUUUAAAUUUUGGAAUUAAAUUGAUUAUGUGCUCUGUGUCUGAAGGUAAGUAUUUUGGUGUGGAAAAUGUAACCAAAAAUAUCACUUUUUAUAUAUCCACAGAAAAUCAUUACAAUCUGGAGCGUAAGCAGAGUCAUCAAUGAUAGAAGCUGAUUUAACAGUUUAUAAAAUGUUCAAGGCGCUCGAGACGACGAUGAUUCGAAACGGCAAAAAUAAAAUCUUAGGACAAUUACGCGGCACUGGAUGUAGGGUACCAUAUUACAGGCGCACCUUAUAGUACACAUAUAUUGAUCAGCAAGUAUGUUACCUUGUCAUAGAUAGAAGAGAAAAGAUAGAGAGUAAGAGGAGGAGGAAAGGGAAGAAGAACGGGGAGUUUUUUAGUUUGGUACGCGGACAGGAAAGACGCGAAUAAAUCGUUGUGCAAUAUAUCUAGUUACGAAAGUGGAAAUUGCAUCCGAAACCCCACGAAGUCCUUACAUCUGGCGACGAGGAUGGCGGAAAACAUGGUGAGUUCAGUGGAAAACAGAAUUAAAAGUGAAAAAUUAGACAAUUUGUGUUGGGAAAAGCCCAUCCUAAAUGUGGCACGAAAGCCAAAAUGGCGUACGUUUUGAUGGUCGAGACCAAAGGAAGAAAAGGGUGAGAGAAUUCCCGAGGGGCACCCGAUUAUACGUGACUCAAUUUCUUGCUCUCUUGGCUCUGAGGAGUGGGAGAGAAGUAUGAGUAAUUAGGUGUUUGUUUUCCUUGUAUUGAGGUACAUUGUUUGAGAAUGUUGGUGAUAUCCGAACUCUGAGGAGCGAAGGAAUGAAAGUGUUGAGCUUUGAGAAGCUAAAUGAAAUGAUGCGCAAGUGUUCUGAGGAACAAACAUUGUUUAUUAUUGAGCUUUGAGAAGCCAAAGAAGAAGAUGUUCUAGAGUUCUGAGGAACUAACAUUCGAAAACAUUGUGCUUUGAGAAGUUUUGACAAUGACGUGUGUAUUGACAUAUUAAUUAAUUGCAUUACAGAUCAGCGAGUCGCGAGCGAUUCCACCAUUUCGAUGUGAAGAAAUAGCCCGAAAUCAAUUAUCCAAAGAAUGGAAGAGUUGGAAAUCUUCACUGGAAGUAUAUUUCGAAGCGUUUGAUGUAGUUGACCAACGGAAGAUGAAAGCACUUCUUUUGCAUUUUGGUGGAAGACAGUUACAAAAAGUUUUCGGAAAUCUACCUGAUGUAGACAAAAUUCCUUUGGUUGCGACUAAGGUGAACUGGUACGAUUUGGCCAUUAGCAAGUUGGACGAUUAUUUCGAGCCUGGUAGGCAAUACAUCUUGGAACGCUGUCGACUGCGGAAGAUGAAACAGGCGAAAAACGAGAGAUUUUCACAUUUUAUGAUGCGCAUUCGUCAGCAGCUCGCCGAUUGUGGCUUGGAGAAAUUUUCCACGGAAGUAAAGGAAAUAUUGACCGAAAUAUUCCUUACAGAUGCUAUAGUCGAGGGAUGCGAAUCUGAAGAACUCAGACGUCGCAUUCUUCAAAAGGAUAGAUCGCUUGCCGAGCUGGAAGAGCUAGGUGCAAUGAUGGAGGGCGUAGAACAGCAAAUGAAGGACAUAAGCUCGUUGAAUCCAAAUGAAAGCAAUAUAGAAAAGGUUUUUAAAGUGGAAUCUAGAUUCGUAAGAAAAUCAACAACAUCAGGUCGUGCGCAGCGAAAACUGGAAAAGAAACCAUAUGAUGCACGGAAAAUGAGAUGCUUCAGUUGCGGAAUAGAUGGUCACAUUUCUUCAUCAUUGCAGUGUAAAGCUCGCGAUCAAAAGUGCAGAAAAUGUGACAAGAGGGGGCAUUUCGAGGCUGUGUGUGGAAAACGAUAUUUCAACAAGCGGGAUGUUAUUUUCAAACACCAAGAAGGAAAAAUUCGAUUGAUAACUGAAAUUAAAGACGAGUUUGAUGAUAAAGCAGAAGAAAUUGUUGCGGACGACGCUGAGAAUGUUCCAGAGAAAAAGAGCAAAACAUAAUAUUGUUUUUACUCUGGAAACGAAACAAAUCUCAUUGAAUGCGUGGUAGGCGAUGUCCCUUUGAUGUUGCUGAUUGAUUCAGGCUCUGAUGCUAAUUUGAUACCGUUAAAAGUCUGGGAGGAAAUGAAGCAGGCGCAAGUAAACGUGGCGAACAUGAUCAAAGGAGGACAACAGACUUUGAGAGGAUAUGGGAACACGAAGCCUCUUCAAAUAGUUGGGACGUUUCAGGCUAACAUAACUUGUGGAAAUCAAACGGUCUCAGCUAAAUUUUUUGUUGUUGGUGAAGGACAAUGUUGUUUGUUGGGCGACACAACGGCCAAAGCUCUGGGAGUUUUGAGAGUCGGAUUAAACAUAAACCAGGUCGAGGAUAAGUUUUUACCGUUUGGCAAAAUUCGUGACAUGCAGGUUCAAAUUCAUAUGAAUCCUGAAUACAAACCGGUCUUUCAACCUGUACGUAGAGUGCCGAUACCAUAUGAGUCUGCUGUAAAUGAGAAGAUUGAGCAGUUAUUGGCUCGAGAUAUCAUUGAGGUAGGAGGUUUAUGUUUUCUUCGAAAGGAUUUCCAAUAACAGUUUCCAGGCAGGAUGUCAUAAGAUUGAUUUAUCUUGAAAGCAAAUAAAUGAAUAAUAAAAGUAGUAAAAUUGUUUAAUGUUUUAAUGCAAUUUAUUUCGUAGAUUAAAACUGGACCAACAUCUUGGGUUUCGCCACUAGUUGUGGUGGGAAAAGCGAAUGGUGAGCCAAGGAUUUGCCUCGAUUUGCGUAGGGUAAAUGAGGCUGUGCUUCGUGAACGAUAUCCUAUGCCAAUUGUGGAAGAACUAUUAGCUAGAAUUGGUAAAGGAGCAAUCCGUAGUAAGCUAGACAUUAAAGAUGCUUUCCUGCAAACUGAGUUGGCCCCAGAAUCUCGAGACGUCACGACGUUCAUAACACACAAAGGACUGUUUCGGUUUAAAAGGCUGCCGAUGGGUCUGGUGUCCUCCCCCGAAAUUUUCCAAAAAGUUAUGGAAGAGAUUCUCUCUGGCUGCGAAGGAACGUUCUGCUACAUAGACGACAUAUACAUUGAAGGGUCAACUCGUGCAGAACAUGAUAAACGACUUCAAGUCGUCAUGUCGCGCCUGAAAGAUCGAGGAGUAGUUCUCAACCAUGAAAAAUGCCAAAUCGGCGUAGCCGAGAUUGAGUUUUUGGGACACGUCAUUACAGCCCAGGGUAUUAAACCUUCUGUUAGUAAAGUGGAUGCCAUCAAAUCUUUCCGCCGGCCAGAGAACGUUUCGGAAUUGAAAAGCUUUCUUGGCCUGGCAAAUUAUUUGAACAAAUUCAUUCCAAAUCUUGCCAAAAUUGAUGAACCCCUUCGUCAUCUCUUGUUGUCGUCCAGUAAAUUUGAAUGGAAGGAACCGCAGCAAACUGCAUUUGAUGCUAUCAAAGUUGCCCUGGCAGUUGACACGAUUUUGGGACACUUUAAUGUUGAUGAUCAAACGUCAGUCAUAUCGGAUGCUAGCCCAUCGGCCCUUGGAGCUAUUCUUUUUCAAACGGACACAACCGGAGAGUCUCGAGUAAUAAGCUUCGCUUCUAAAUCACUAACGACCACUGAGAAGAAGUAUUGCCAAACGGAAAAGGAAGCGCUGUCGUUAGUAUGGUCGGUCGAAAGAUUUCAAAUGUAUUUGUUGGGCUCGAAAUUCGAUCUUAUCACUGACUGUAAAGCUUUGGUUUAUCUUUUCACUCCACGGUCUAGACCCUGCGCUAGAAUAGAGCGUUGGGUUCUCCGACUACAGGCUUUUGAGUACACAGUUAAGCACUGGCCUGGUGAGAAAAACAUAGCUGAUGUAUUAUCUCGACUCUCAACACUGAAAGCAGAACCGUUUGAUAUGUCUGAGGAACUGUUUGUAAACGAAAUAGCUCUUGCUGCAGCAUCGACUGCUGCGAUCCGUUGGGAAGAAAUUCAAAGGGUUUCUAAGGCAGACAAUGAAAUUCAAACGGUUAUUCAAUGUCUACGCAACAACCGUCUCCAUGAUUUGCCGGUGGUUUAUCGCAUUGUCGGAAGAGAAUUGUGCGCGAUUGAACAUGUAGUUCUGCGGGGUGACCGUAUAGUAGUCCCAGGUAAUCUGAGGGAGCAAGUAUUAUCUUUAGCUCAUGAAGGUCAUCUCGGUUCACGAUUGAUGAAAAGCCAUCUUCGCACAUCAGUAUGGUGGCCAAAAAUGGACCAAGACGUGGAGACGUUUGUGAAGCGAUGUUAUGGCUGUACGUUAGUAUCUGCUCCAGAAGCUCCAGAGCCUAUGGCGCGUCGAGAGAUGCCGAACGGACCGUGGGAAGACGUAGCCAUCGAUUUUCUGGGUCCGCUUCCAGAAGGACAAUUUCUGCUAGUAGUGAUUGACUAUUACAGCAGAUAUUUUGAGAUCUGUGAAAUGGAUUCUAUAACGGCGGAGUGCACAAUAUUUCAACUGAUGCAGAUUUUUAGUAGAUUUGGAAUACCACUCACGUUGACCGCUGACAACGCACCACAAUUGAGCGAAGAUUGUGAGGCGUUUUCAAAGUUUUGUAAAGAUCAAGGCAUUAAGCUACUUAAUACCAUUUCAUAUUGGCCCCAAAUGAAUGGCGAAGUGGAACGCCAAAACAGGACCAUAUUGAAACGACUCAAAAUUGCGCAGGAGCUGGGCCAAGACUGGAAGAUGGAACUGCAGAAAUUCUUGUUGGCAUACCGUAGUACUCCACACUCGACAACAGGGCGGUCACCUGCUGAAUUGUUAUUUGGGAGGAAAAUAAGAUCUAAAAUUCCACAAUUGAUGCCAACAUAUGUAGGUGACGAAGAAACCAAAGAACGUGAUCAAAUACAAAAAGAGUUAGGUCGUGAAUAUGCAGAUAAGAAAAGAAGAGCUACUCCGAGUUCAAUUGUUGUAGGGGACAAGGUAUUGAUUAAAAGGCAAAAGAAAGAUAAUAAACUAAGUGGUGAUUUUGUAAACGAAGAAUACAUAGUACAGGAAAAACAUGGAGGGGAUGUUAUAGUUAAAUCGUCAGUUUCUGAUAGGAUAUAUCGUAGGAACGUUGCUCACUUGAAAAAACUAUGGACUCCUCAAGAAAAUGAAAAGUUAAGUAUCUCUUCUGAAGAUAGGACAACAGAAACUACUAAUGAGAACUCGAAAAACGAUGAAACGGGCACUCAUAGAGUAGGUGAGAAACGUAUUCGUAAAGAACCUAAAUGGCUUGAAAAUUAUAUACCCCAUUAGUCAAAGAUUUGUCAAGGGGGAUGUAGGGUACCAUAUUACAGGCGCACCUUAUAGUACACAUAUAUUGAUCAGCAAGUAUGUUACCUUGUCAUAGAUAGAAGAGAAAAGAUAGAGAGUAAGAGGAGGAGGAAAGGGAAGAAGAACGGGGAGUUUUUUAGUUUGGUACGCGGACAGGAAAGACGCGAAUAAAUCGUUGUGCAAUAUAUCUAGUUACGAAAGUGGAAAUUGCAUCCGAAACCCCACGAAGUCCUUACACUGGAGGCCAAAUUAGGUUUUUGGCGUAUAUAUGUUUCCUGAUCUUUUACGCCGAAUAAUAAAAGAAGAGCAUAAUCACAAUGAUGGAUUAAUAAAACAGCAUUUCAAAAAUGUGAAUUGUUUCAUUAAAUGCAUGGAUUACUACUAAAUUUACAAUAUUUUGUAAUAAUUACCAUGGCAUGGUGAAAUUGAACGUCAUUAAGCCGUAACGCGCCAUAACGUAAACACAUGGUAAUUUUAAACAAACUAAUGUUUAAGAUAAACAAAUACGUACUCGAAAAAAAUCCAUCUGUUUUUAUUUUUAAAUUCACCCUUGGAUAUGGUAACGUUCACUAUGAUUUUUCUUUCGGUGUAGGUUUUUCAAAAACAGCAACCCGAGCGUACAAGUUGUACCCGAUGUUCGUACUCAGGUUCGAACAUUAAUGUUUGUACACAUAGUCACGUCACACUAGGCAACGGUUGCGAUAUUUUGGGUGCUUCAACCUGGGGGAGGAAGACUGAAAUUCGCUGUAUCGUUUUCAGGUUUUCUGUAUCGUUUUUUUUUCUGUUCGACAAAAACCAGCAAUUGUAUAGAAAAGAUUUGUAAUCGAUCAAGUUUUAACUUUAGAUGAUCAAUUUUGUGUAGCGAGUCAUGUAACUCAGUUGUUUAGGUGCUAGUCUUCUGAGUUAAUUGCUGCAGAUUCAAAAGUAAACAUCGAAGUCGAAUCCAACAGCUAGAUAGUCUGUCAACUCUGUCGUAAAUAUCAACUUUGAACUAUAUAAAAAUGUUGUUCGGUCCAAGGGAACUACCCAAAAUCUAAAUCUGUUAUUUAAGCUAUUUUCAAGAUCAACCAUUGAUCAAGCAAUUUUUAUUUAUCACCUUCGAAAACUUCAACGAAAUUUGAGCCACUUAAUAUGCCUGAACAUGCAAGAAUUUGCCAGAGUGAAACAAAACCUAAUUAAAUGAUUGUUUAAUGCAAAACAAGUGCUUUUCAGCAUCAAAACAGUUUUAUUGAAAAUCGCUAAAUAAGAAAGUAAAAUUGUCUACCUUCGCACUGCUCGGUAGAUUGAUGAAAGAAAUUUGACGUUUGAAAGAUUUUUUUCUUUUUUUAUUCAGUUUUCCUCCCCCAGGCUUCAACGAGUUUUGUCGUGCCUACGUGACACCUGAGACUGUCACAACGUCUCGCGAAAAGAAAUAAUAAUGUGACUACGCCUAAGUAGCCAAACAUAAAAGGGACAUCAUCAAUACUCAGUCUCCGAGCACCGGGAGUAAACUUUCAUAGAGAUAAAAGGUUCGUUUUAAUUCGUUGAUACCACACUUAGGGAUCCUGGAAAGUUGUCCUUAGUAAUUGUGUUGACCACACAAGUGAAACAUGGCAACGUGUAGCCGAUAAUGGAUCUUACAAACAGAACCUCCUACAUCAAGCUAUACAUUUCUAUAGAAUCUCUAUAGAAUAUCUUAUAAGAAUCUCUUGUGAUCAGCGGCACAAAACACUGGAAACCAGAAUGCAUAUGGGCGGAUAUCAAAUGAAAUUGAGCAGAGAGGAUUUCAAGAAGAUACUGAUUGUGGCUAGCCGUUGUUUUUCCGAAUCGAUCAUUACGAGAUGAGUCAUAUCGUCAAAGUUUAAGAUCUUGAUUGGACAAGAGACUAUCUUAAGGAAUCGUUUUCAAAAAUGAAUUAACAAAUAAAACAGUGAGGAACUCAUUAAUUUCAUUUAAUUUCGAAGGCUUAAUUUAAAGGUCAUAGCUUAAGAAUUAAAUUUAUUGAUGAAGUUUUUGUUAUGCAUAGAUUCAGAUGCAUUGCUUGCCGACAACUGAAUAAACACGCUCCGCAUCCUGGGUCACAGCUAUGCCAGAAUGUCCACAGUUGAUCGCUCCUCGUGCCGAAUAUCCGUUUCAAAAGAAAUUGGAGAAAACUUGGCCACUAGACAGUUGAGGGUAGGUAUUUGGCUUACUCGAAAAAAUCGAACAAAUUAAUUUAAUCGAACAAUAUCAUCAGAGUGAAAAGUUAUUAAAGUUCAAAGUCGAAGUGCACGCGUUUCACAUUUGUAUACAUUUAUGAACGGUACUGUAUAUGGUCGGUUUUAGGAUUUUUUUUUUGUUAAUGUGAUCGUCACCUAGAGUUUUUUUCGAAUUUCUCUAUGUGUUGGACGUGGGAUACUUGUUUAUUUUGUAGAGGAACAAAAUAAAACAAUCAGAAUUCCUUCAAUCGUGGCUCCAGAGAGUACUGUUUUAAUUACGAUUGUUUUCUCUCUCUCUCUCUUUCUCUCUCUCUCUCUUUCUCUCUCUCUUUCUCUU
RNA transcript from Uranotaenia lowii, 12433 nucleotides. RefSeq lists it as uncharacterized. The transcript is spliced from 3 exons. NCBI's taxonomy places the organism in Eukaryota, Metazoa, Arthropoda, Insecta, Diptera, Culicidae. The record is from RefSeq and is a predicted model, not a curated record.